GGCCUUACAAUCUUAACCCCGACCCCCUAUAUUAGAUGCGUCUGGCUCGACCGGACUAUGACGAUAAACGGCUGCGUAAUAAGCGGACUGGACCCGGGGGCGGUACCCGGCGCCUCCACCACCUGCCCUCUGAGGAGGCCAGCUGUGGGGGCGAAAUAGGAUCGACAGACGUGUAAAGGCUGACCUUUCGUUCGGUAUGGUAUCCGCCGUUAUCGGG
Molecule: transfer-messenger RNA, 217 nt
Filed under: Alphaproteobacteria bacterium
Lineage: Bacteria; Pseudomonadati; Pseudomonadota; Alphaproteobacteria
Description: partial transfer-messenger RNA
Rfam family: Alphaproteobacteria transfer-messenger RNA
About the family: Bacterial tmRNA, also known as 10Sa RNA or SsrA, is named for its dual tRNA and mRNA-like properties. Its role is to liberate the mRNA from a stalled ribosome.
Source: RNAcentral